CAUUAUUAAACUUUGACUAACGUUUCGAUGUGUCGAUGUUUAAGGUGCAUCAAAGUUUAAGGUGUCUAAUGGUGUCCCAAAAUUGCAAUACACAGAUCAGCCACCAGAGGGCAUCUUUCUCACAGCCAAAAUGGGGUAGCUUCCACUGACAUACAGUAACUGAGAGAUUCAGAGAGAAGAAAAGGGUUGUGUGAGGCUGGGUCUUUCCAAAUCAGUAAAACCAUGGAGGGAUGGCUGAGUGUUUCAUUUCUAAUUGCUUGCUUUUCAGUUUGCAGUGGAAGGGAUUCUGUUGAUCAAUCACAUGGUUCUCUAACUGCUCGGGAGGGAGACCUGCUGACCCUGGACUGUAAAUAUGAGACAAUAGACACAUCACCAUAUCUCUUCUGGUACAUUCAGCGAGUAAGAGGAGCCCCAGAGUAUAUAUUACUGAGACAUAAAGCUUUUAGCGAAAAUGACCAGGAGUUCAAGCAGAGAUUCAAUGCUACACUCAACACAGACCAAAAAACUGUUCCUCUGACGAUACAGAAUCUACAGGUGUCUGACUCUGCCAUGUACUACUGUGCUCUGAGGCCCACAGUGACAGUAGCAAAUACAACACUCCUACAAAAACCAUACAAUGUCUCUGUGAUGUCGCUUUAA
Alosa sapidissima (American shad) is the source of this 639-nucleotide non-coding RNA. The record is from the annotation of a RefSeq genome assembly. Lineage: Eukaryota; Metazoa; Chordata; Actinopteri; Clupeiformes; Clupeidae.